AGCUCAAUGGCGCUUUACAGUAUUUUAGAAAAUUUAAAUAAAAAUGUUAGUAUAUUUACAUCAUUCCAUUUAAAAUUUAGUAUAUAUUUGCCAUUACUAUAUAAAAGUCAAAAUAAGAAGUGAAUUAGAUAAAAAGUCAGUUACAGUACAGUUACAGUACUAAUCGUAUCAAUUUCUGUAUCAAAGCACCAGUGCGGUGCUCCGCUCUUCCAAGUAGUGCGUGUUGUGUCGGAUUACUUUUUGCAACACUCUCGUUGUAAAGGCAAUUUUCCAUUGCAGUCGCUUUGCCCGAGCGGGCGGAGCAAACGUUACUCAACUUAAUUUCUCGGUAAUUGCCUAUCCUGUGCAUUUUUUGUCCGCUUGAAUGCUUGCGGACACGCCAUGAAAUUAGAACUACAUUCAACUUUCUUGGC
Molecule: non-coding RNA, 413 nt
Organism: Paramuricea clavata
Lineage: Eukaryota; Metazoa; Cnidaria; Anthozoa; Malacalcyonacea; Plexauridae
Source: the annotation of a GenBank genome assembly